This 620-nucleotide ribosomal RNA is filed under the name uncultured soil bacterium. Its description in RNAcentral is "bacterial SSU rRNA". It matches the Rfam family "Bacterial small subunit ribosomal RNA", at positions 812 to 1435 of the family's 1533-position model. The record is from RNAcentral.
UCAACUGGUUGUUGGUGGGGUUAAACCCAUUAGUAACGAAGCUAACGCGUGAAGUUGACCGCUGGGGAGUACGGCCGCAAGGUUAAAACUCAAAGGAAUUGACGGGGACCCGCACAAGCGGUGGAUGAUGUGGAUCAAUUCGAUGCAACGCGAAGAACCUUACCUACCCUUGACAUGCCAGGGAGCCUGCUGAGAGGCGGGUGUGCCCGAAAGGGAGCCUGGACACAGGUGCUGCAUGGCUGUCGUCAGCUCGUGUCGUGAGAUGUUGGGUUAAGUCCCGCAACGAGCGCAACCCUUGUCACUAGUUGCUACGCAAGGGCACUCUAGUGAGACUGCCGGUGACAAACCGGAGGAAGGUGGGGAUGACGUCAAGUCCUCAUGGCCCUUAUGGGUAGGGCUUCACACGUCAUACAAUGGCGCAUACAAAGGGCUGCCAACCCGCGAGGGGGAGCCAAUCCCAGAAAGUGCGUCGUAGUCCGGAUUGCAGUCUGCAACUCGACUGCAUGAAGUCGGAAUCGCUAGUAAUCGCGGAUCAGCAAUGUCGCGGUGAAUACGUUCCCGGGUCUUGUACACACCGCCCGUCACACCAUGGGAGUGGGUUUCACCAGAAGCCGGUUGCC